UACGUAGGCAGCAAGCGUUGUUCGGAGUUACUGGGCGUAAAGGGUGUGUAGGCGGUUGGAUAAGUGUGGUGUGAAAUCUCCCGGCUCAACUGGGAGGGUGCGCUACAAACUGUCUGACUAGAGUGUGGGAUGGGUAAGUGGAAUUCCUGGUGUAGCGGUGAAAUGCGCAGAUAUCAGGAGGAACACCGGUGGCGAAGGCGGGUCUCUGGGCCGGCAUUGACGCUGAGUGAGCGAAAGCCAGGGGAGCAAACGGG
This 254-nucleotide ribosomal RNA is filed under the name uncultured bacterium. Its description in RNAcentral is "partial 16S ribosomal RNA". It matches the Rfam family "Bacterial small subunit ribosomal RNA", at positions 524 to 776 of the family's 1533-position model. The record is from RNAcentral.